CUAACACGGCUGCUACUCUGAAACCUUAGCUAGAAUCAGGAAAGAAAAUCUUUCCUUGCAAUGGAUGCACUGUAUCAUACAUAGAGAGACACUUGCUUCAAAAAAGAUGAUUUCUUUGCGGCCGGAAGUUUUAAAUGAGUGUCAAAAUUGUCAACUUUAUCAAGUCCAGGCCACUCAAUGCUCACCUGUUUCACAUUCUUUGCAAAGAGAUGGGGCAGAACAUCAGCACCUGUUGCUUCACACAGAGGUUUGCUGGCUUUCAAGAGGGAGAGUACUUGACAGACUGUUUAAAUUACGCACAGAAGUUCACGCAUUUCUUUCUGAUCUUUCAUCCCCUCUUACCUCUGUUUGACAACACUGUGUAGUUAGCUCAACUUGCCUACGUUGCAGAUAUAUUUAGCAAGCUGAAUGAUCUAAAUUUGUCCAUGCAAGACCGUGACACUAACGUUCUGAAUCUCUAUGACAAAGUGAAUGCUUUUAU
Molecule: long non-coding RNA, 481 nt
Organism: Dermochelys coriacea (leatherback sea turtle)
Lineage: Eukaryota; Metazoa; Chordata; Testudines; Dermochelyidae
Exons: 3
Source: RefSeq, a predicted model, not a curated record